GCUGGGCGUGGUGGGGUGUGCCUGUGGUCUCAGCUACUCAGGAGGCUGAGGUAGGAGGAUUGCUUGAGCCCAGGAGGUUGAGACUGCAGUGAGCCAUGAUCAUGCCACUGCACUCCAGCCUGGGCAACAGAGCGAGACCCUGUCUCAA
Pongo abelii (Sumatran orangutan) is the source of this 148-nucleotide unclassified non-coding RNA. It matches the Rfam family "Metazoan signal recognition particle RNA". From Rfam's summary of the family: The signal recognition particle (SRP) is a universally conserved ribonucleoprotein. It is involved in the co-translational targeting of proteins to membranes. The record is from Ensembl. Lineage: Eukaryota; Metazoa; Chordata; Mammalia; Primates; Hominidae.